Long non-coding RNA from Alosa sapidissima (American shad), 118 nucleotides. RefSeq lists it as uncharacterized. NCBI's taxonomy places the organism in Eukaryota, Metazoa, Chordata, Actinopteri, Clupeiformes, Clupeidae. The transcript has 3 exons. The record is from RefSeq and is a predicted model, not a curated record.
AUCGCUAAACGUUUGAUUCUUUUUAAUGUUGUCAUCAGUUAACUUCAUUCAACUACGCUUGUGACUGAAGUGUGCCGUUCAGUUGUGAACGUUCGCAAAUUUAGUUUAUGGGCAGAGA